This 251-nucleotide ribosomal RNA is filed under the name Citrobacter freundii. RNAcentral's name for it is "partial 23S ribosomal RNA". It matches the Rfam family "Bacterial large subunit ribosomal RNA", at positions 1422 to 1673 of the family's 2925-position model. Lineage: Bacteria; Pseudomonadati; Pseudomonadota; Gammaproteobacteria; Enterobacterales; Enterobacteriaceae. RNAcentral also lists the same sequence under 2 other names. The record is from RNAcentral.
AAACAGGUUAAUAUUCCUGUACUUGGUGUUACUGCGAAGGGGGGACGGAGAAGGCUAUGUUAGCCGGGCGACGGUUGUCCCGGUUUAAGCAUGUAGGCGGAGGUUCCAGGUAAAUCCGGUACCUUUUUAACGCUGAGGUGUGAUGACGAGGCACUACGGUGCUGAAGUAACAAAUGCCCUGCUUCCAGGAAAAGCCUCUAAGCAUCAGGUAACACGAAAUCGUACCCCAAACCGACACAGGUGGUCAGGUA